Molecule: ribosomal RNA, 1325 nt
Filed under: Epicypta sp. WQY004
Lineage: Eukaryota; Metazoa; Arthropoda; Insecta; Diptera; Mycetophilidae
Description: 16S ribosomal RNA
Source: RNAcentral
AAUUUAAUUUGAUUUUUAUUUAAUUUAUUAAAAAUAAUUUCAAAAAUUUAAAGUUAAAGUAUUUUUUAAAGAAAUAAUAAUUUUAAUUAUAGAAAAAUAGUAUUGAAAAAUAAAAUUGAAAUAUAUUGAAAUAAAAAUAAAUAAAAAAGAAAAUUUUAAUUAUUGUACCUUGUGUAUCAGGGUUUAUUAAAUAAAAAAUAAAAAUUUAUUUUUCUCGAUUUUAAGAGAUUUAAAAAUUUAUUUUAGUUAAUGUGGCAUAAUUAUUAAUAAUAAAUUUUUAGAAAUGAGAUGUUUUCGUUCUUAAUUAUAUCUAGUUUUUUAAGAAAUAAAUUUAAUUUAUAUAAUAUUAAUAUUAUUGUUUAGUUAAAAAUAAAUAAAGUUAAUAUUAUAAAUAAUUUAAGGGAUAAGCUUUAAAUUAAAUUUUUAAAAAUUUUAAUUUUAUAAAUUAAAUAUAAGCUUAGAAUUAGCUAUUAUUUAUAAAUAUGUUAUAAUUUAUAUAAAAAUAAAUAAGAUUUAAUUAAAAUUUUAAAUAAUUUAUUAAAAUAUUAAUAUAAAUUAAAAAUAUUAAUUAAUAAUGAUAAAAUUAGUAUAAAAAUAUUUUGUAAGAAAAUAUUAUUUUUUUUAAAAUUUAUUAAAAUAAUUCGGCAAAAAUAAUAUUCACCUGUUUAUCAAAAACAUGUCUUUUUGAAUUUUAUAUAAAGUCUGACCUGCCCAUUGAAUUAAAUUUUAAAAGGCUGCGGUAUAUUGACCGUACAAAGGUAGCAUAAUCAUUAGUUUUUUAAUUGAAAACUUGUAUGAAUGGUUUAAUGAAAUAUUAACUGUUUCUAAUAAAUUUAAUUAGAAUUUAAUUUUUUAGUAAAAAAGCUAAAAUAUAAUUAAAAGACGAGAAGACCCUAUAGAGUUUUAUAAAAAAUUAAUUUAUUUUAUAAAUAAUAUUUAAAAAUUUAUUUAAUAUUUUUAUUUUAUUGGGGUGAUAGUAAAAUUUAAUAAUCUUUUAUUUUUUUUUUAACAAUGAUUUUUGAAAAAUUGAUCCAUUUAUAGUGAUUAAAAGAUUAAAUUACCUUAGGGAUAACAGCGUAAUUUUUUUGUAGAGUUCUUAUCGAUAAAAAAUUUUGCGACCUCGAUGUUGGAUUAAGAUAAAUAUAGGGUGUAGUAGCUUUAUAAUUAGGUCUGUUCGACCUUUAAUAUCUUACAUGAUCUGAGUUCAAACCGGUUUAAGCCAGGUUGGUUUCUAUCUUUAAUAAAAAUUUAUAUUUUAGUACGAAAGGACCAAAUAUAGAAAUUAUAAUUUAAAUAUUAAAAUUGAAUAUUAUUAAUAUAAAUAA